GGGGGCGUACUGGUUUCGACUGGUGGUUUGAAAGAUAGACUGCAUGCCGAGGUUGAUCAGUUGGCCUCGUAAAAAGCUGAUCAAACAAACAAAAGCAAACGAAGAACCUGAACUUGCAAUGGCGGCCUAAUUAGGCCUCCCGUAGAUUGUCCGACGCCUGCUGAGGCAAUCUAUGACUACUUUAGCAGGCUGGCGUCAUGGCGGGUGUCCGGCCGUUGACGCGAGAGGUUACAGUGGCAAUCGGAGGUGAUGGAUUCUGUCGUUCGAAGCCACGACUCCUAAAUUAAAAGAUCGAAUAUGCAUGUAGACGUUUAUUUAGACGGCCAUUAGGACAGGGGUUCAACUCCCCUCGCCUCCAUAC
Molecule: transfer-messenger RNA, 361 nt
Filed under: bacterium
Lineage: Bacteria
Also listed under: 1 other name
Rfam family: transfer-messenger RNA
About the family: Bacterial tmRNA, also known as 10Sa RNA or SsrA, is named for its dual tRNA and mRNA-like properties. Its role is to liberate the mRNA from a stalled ribosome. To accomplish this part of the tmRNA is used as a reading frame that ends in a translation stop signal.
Source: RNAcentral